UACGUAGGGUCCGAGCGUUGUCCGGAAUUAUUGGGCGUAAAGGGCUCGUAGGCGGUUCGUCACGUCGGGAGUGAAAACUCGGAGCUUAACUCCGAGCCUGCUUCCGAUACGGGCAGAUUAGAGGUAGGCAGGGGAGAGCGGAACUCCUGGUGUAGCGGUGGAAUGCGCAGAUAUCAGGAAGAACACCGGUGGCGAAGGCGGCUCUCUGGGCCUUACCUGACGCUGAGGAGCGAAAGCGUGGGUAGCGAACAGG
Molecule: ribosomal RNA, 253 nt
Filed under: uncultured bacterium
Lineage: Bacteria
Description: partial 16S ribosomal RNA
Rfam family: Bacterial small subunit ribosomal RNA
Source: RNAcentral